Papaver somniferum (opium poppy) is the source of this 2384-nucleotide long non-coding RNA. RefSeq lists it as uncharacterized. The record is from RefSeq and is a predicted model, not a curated record. The transcript has 4 exons. NCBI's taxonomy places the organism in Eukaryota, Viridiplantae, Streptophyta, Magnoliopsida, Ranunculales, Papaveraceae.
GUUCUUAACCGAACAGAAAUACUCCCCAGUUCCCCCCUCAACUCCCCUGUAACCCUGUUUCUUCGAUGAUGAUUAUUAAAACGAAAAAAAAAUAAUCAAUAUUUCGGAACUGCCUAUAAAGAGAAGACAAUCUUUCAAAUUUGAAGUAAGGAUAUGCAUCGAUUUCUUCUAAGAAUUCAUCGAUUUGGCUCAAAUUAUAUCUCCCCAAGUUGGUAAGAAAUUUGAUUACUUGUUCCUCUGAUUUCCUGGUGCGAAUGUCAUGUGUUUUGAGUUUUUUUUUAGAUCUAAAGUUUGAUUUUAAUUUAUAAAAUUCCAGUUAAAACCUGGUAUCCAUGUCUUUCUAGGAUAGUCAAUUACUACUUUUGGUUAUUCCUUCAGAAUAAUUUUGCUUCCAGUAAGUAUCUGGAUGUGUAUUAAGGCCUCCAUUCUUAUGAAUCCAGUUGUUUGAUGGCAAGUUGUUGGCUUAAUCAUAAAGAAUUUAUGUAAGUGUUUUUCUGUCUGAUAUCUCUCUACAAAUGAAGAAAAAACCAUGGCUUUUUUUUUAAGAGUCAUGGCAAAAUCUCUUCUUGUGUAUUAGUAUUCACUCUUCCUUUACUUCAUCUACGCAUCUUAUAUUCCUACGAAAAUAUCAUCUUCUUUUCACCAAAUUUAGAUCUAUAUAUGUUUAUACAAAGAGAUCUAAAAGAAACUGAUCAUGUAGUUCUUUUGUUCAAGAGUAUUUUUUUCCCUUAAUUAGUUGGUUCAAUUAUGAAAGGAAAGUGCACUAGUACUGUGUUGUACGUCUUGUUCAUUUUUCAUAAUUUUGUGUCCUCCUAAGAAGAUAAAGAUUAGCAGCACCGAAUAUAUUUCUGUUUGGUUUUGAGUUUUGGUUGGUAAUUAAUAUCACAAGUUCAGAUCUAAGAAAAUUUUGGUUUUUCUUGAACAUGUUUAAAGUUGAGGGAUCAGUUUUUUCAUUCGUAUACUAGAUUGCAGUUCCUGAAAUCAUAUUGAUAUUGUGUUAGUUUUAUUGCAGACUUCUAUCGUGAUUAGUGAAACAAGAUUAACUGGUCAUUAGGAUUUAGGAUUUAUUUGCUUCUAGUUGAUUAAUUCCGUUGAAGUAAUACCGAUUCUCUGCUUUUCACUUGGUUUUGUGGAUGUGGAAUGAAGAAACUCCAAUAUCCAAGAUAUUUGGAGUGACUGCAAGUUACAAUGUCUUGGUGGUUGAAAUAGUUGUUUUCUAGUGAUUGAGCUUGAUUAGUACUAUAAUUCCAUGUAUUAAGUCAGAUUGCUUAUGAAGACAAAAUGUACCUAUGCACUACUUUGAUCAAUAUUGUUUACUUCGUACACUGUUGUAUAUACACAACCAUAAUAAAUAUCAUUAAAUAAAGAAAACCACUUUUGCAUACUCUAGAAGAUAAGAUACAAGUUUAUAGGAAUGAUAGCCAGGCUAUUCGUAUUAAUUAUGUUCUGACGAUUGUGCAGAACCAUGAAUAUGAGUAAGUUGUUUCUAGUAGACAUGCUAGGCAUGACCUAAGCUUUAAAGUUGGAUUUAUUAUAUGAUUCUCAUUAUUUGUUGAAUAUCUAAUUGCUCCCAUUUGGAAUGUGUAUGUUAUGUAUGUCAUGUGGUAUUUGGUAUUAAUUCAAGUUUUCUUCGAUGUUGCAAGGACAAAUUUGGAUUGUCGGUUCUGAAUUUUAACAGGCUUCUUAAGGCAUGUUAUUUUGGAAGGAUGUCUCAAAAUUGGACAGGUGCAACAUUUGCUGGACUUCAAGGUGGAAGAUAAUGAGACCUGGGAAGAAGAAAAAUACUCCUCGUAAGAUACUCCGCCAUUUCCCGUUAAAGCCUAGGCUUCAGUUUUGUGUUCUUUGUAUGUCUUCCAAAACUGCCAAGGACAUGAGAUGGUAAAGAAAGGCGCAUAUGGUUGUGCAUGAAACAACCUCACUUCAUCUAAUCUCUAGUGAUACCAGGUCCAAGUAGUCCAGGGAACGGUUGGUAUUGAUGUAUACUUGAGACCUUUGAUUGAAGAACUUAAAGAGCUAUGGGCAGAAAGGAUUGAUACUUAUGAUUCACUUAGAAAAAAGUCAUUCGUGAACCACGUGAUAGAGAGUGUCCUCCCACAUUCAGAGCCAUAGAAUUUUGAUCCUACCACACAGAUCCAAGGUUACACUGAAAGAUAUUGAGUUCAGGCUACACUGAAAGAUAUAUGUUGAUUAACUUUGGAAGUAAGGAAUCCAUCAGUGAUAAUUGAUGUAUUUUGUUAUUCCAUAUUCAAUAAAAAACUUCUCUUGAAACUUGUAUCUGGUACUAAAUACUUUAGUACUAAGUUUUUAUUUGUUUUUGUUGAAUGUAAUCAAUCACAUAACCUUGUAGUAUGUGUUUUUUUUAGUGAAUGGAUGUUUUAUUUUGA